RNAcentral lists this ribosomal RNA (460 nucleotides) under uncultured bacterium. RNAcentral describes it as "partial 16S ribosomal RNA". It matches the Rfam family "Bacterial small subunit ribosomal RNA", at positions 338 to 795 of the family's 1533-position model. The record is from RNAcentral.
CCUACGGGAGGCUGCAGUGAGGAAUAUUGGUCAAUGGACGAGAGUCUGAACCAGCCAAGUAGCGUGAAGGAUGACUGCCCUAUGGGUUGUAAACUUCUUUUAUAUGGGAAUAAUAUGUUCUACGUGUGGGAUUUUGUAUGUACCUUAUGAAUAAGCAUCGGCUAACUCCGUGCCAGCAGCCGCGGUAAUACGGAGGAUGCGAGCGUUAUCCGGAUUUAUUGGGUUUAAAGGGAGCGUAGAUGGUUUGUUAAGUCAGUUGUGAAAGUUUACGGCUCAACCGUGAAAUUGCAGUUGAAACUGGAAGUCUUGAGUACAGUAGAGGUAAGCGGAAUUCGUGGUGUAGCGAUGAAAUGCUUAGAUAUCACGAAGAACUCCGAUUGCGAAGGCAGCUCACUGGACUGCAACUGACACUGAGGCUCGAAGGUGUGGGUAUCAAACAGGAUUAGAUACCCCAGUAGUC